UUGAAUAUAUAUAAAUUUUAUUACUGUUUGAUUUGAAUAUUGUUAAAAUCGGAACGGCGAAAAAUAGAUCCAGAAAAUAAAUUAAUGCAAGAAAAGAAAAGAUAAGGAAAGAACACACCGAUAUUUACGUGGUUCGGCCAACGGCCUACGUCCACGGGCGAAGACGGAGCAAAUAAUUUAUUAAUGUUGAAAAGGCGGAGUACAAGAAGCUCUCAAAAGAACAAAACUUAAUUAGAUCGGAAACGCCA
Molecule: long non-coding RNA, 248 nt
Filed under: Ananas comosus (pineapple)
Lineage: Eukaryota; Viridiplantae; Streptophyta; Magnoliopsida; Poales; Bromeliaceae
Description: long non-coding RNA (ACOM_LNC035058)
Source: RNAcentral